AUUCUACUCCCUCCGUUGCACAAUACAUGCCUUCUAUUUGUCAAAAUAUAUAUGUAUCUAGACAUGUUUUAGUAUAUAGGUACAUCCAUUUUUGGACAAAUGGAAGUCAAGUAUUUUGGAACAGAUGGAGUACACA
Molecule: non-coding RNA, 136 nt
Organism: Triticum aestivum (bread wheat)
Lineage: Eukaryota; Viridiplantae; Streptophyta; Magnoliopsida; Poales; Poaceae
Source: Rfam